ACCGCGUGAGGGAGGAAGGCUCUUGGGUCGUAAACCUCUUUUCUCAGGGAAGUAAAAAAUGACGGUACCUGAGGAAUAAGCAUCGGCUAACUCCGUGCCAGCAGCCGCGGUAAUACGGAGGAUGCAAGCGUUAUCCGGAAUGAUUGGGCGUAAAGGGUCCGCAGGUGGAACUGAAAGUCUGCUGUUAAAGAAUCUGGCUCAACCAGAUAAAAGCAGUGGAAACUACAGAACUAGAGUACGUUCGGGGCAGAAGGAAUUCCUAGUGUAGCGGUGAAAUGCGUAGAUAUUAGGAAGAACACCGGUGGCGAAAGCGUUCUGCUAGGCCGUAACUGACACUGAGGGACGAAAGCUAGGGGAGCGAAUGGGAUUAGAUACCCCAGUAGUCCUAGCUGUAAACGAUGGAUACUAGGCGUGGCUUGUAUCGACCCGAGCCGUGCCGUAGCUAACGCGUUAAGUAUCCCGCCUGGGGAGUACGCACGCAAGUGUGAAACUCAAAGGAAUUGACGGGGGCCCGCACAAGCGGUGGAGUAUGUGGUUUAAUUCGAUGCAACGCGAAGAACCUUACCAAGGCUUGACAUCCUGCGAAUCUUUCUGAAAGGAGAGAGUGCCUUCGGGAGCGCAGAGACAGGUGGUGCAUGGCUGUCGUCAGCUCGUGUCGUGAGAUGUUGGGUUAAGUCCCGCAACGAGCGCAACCCUCGUUUUUAGUUGCCAGCAUUAAGUUGGGCACUCUAGAGAGACUGCCGGUGACAAACCGGAGGAAGGUGAGGAUGACGUCAAGUCAGCAUGCCCCUUACGCCUUGGGCUACACACGUACUACAAUGCUACGGACAAAGGGCAGCUACACAGCGAUGUGAUGCAAAUCUCAUAAACCGUAGCUCAGUUCAGAUCGAAGGCUGCAACUCGCCUUCGUGAAGGAGGAAUCGCUAGUAAUUGCAGGUCAGCAUACUGCAGUGAAUUCGUUCCCGGGCCUUGUACACACCGCCCGUCACACCAUGGAAGUUGGUCACGCCCGAAGUCAUUACCCCAACCGAAAGGAGGGGGAUGCCGAAGGUAGGACUGGUGACUGGGGUGAAGUCGUAACAAGGUAGCCGUACCGGAAGGUGUGGCUG
Molecule: ribosomal RNA, 1109 nt
Filed under: metagenome
Description: bacterial SSU rRNA
Rfam family: Bacterial small subunit ribosomal RNA
Source: RNAcentral